Molecule: ribosomal RNA, 235 nt
Filed under: uncultured bacterium
Lineage: Bacteria
Description: partial 16S ribosomal RNA
Rfam family: Bacterial small subunit ribosomal RNA
Source: RNAcentral
CGGCGGACGGGUGAGUAAUGUCUGGGAAACUGCCUGAUGGAGGGGGAUAACUACUGGAAACGGCAGCUAAUACCGCGUAACGUCGCAAGACCAAAGAGGGGGACCUUCGGGCCUCUUGCCAUCGGAUGUGCCCAGAUGGGAUUAGCUAGUAGGUGGGGUAACGGCUCACCUAGGCGACGAUCCCUAGCUGGUCUGAGAGGAUGACCAGCCACACUGGAACUGAGACACGGUCCAG